UUCGUCAUUGACCACAUGGACGCAAACAAGGCAGGGCGCUAUCAGUGCCAAUAUAGGAUAGGGCACUACAGGUUCCGGUACAGUGACACCCUGGAGCUGGUAGUGACAGCUCCAUCCACCAAGAUUACACGACGCAGAACUUGAUCCGCAUGGCCGUGGCAGGACUGGUCCUCGUGGCUCUCUUGGCCAUACUGGUUGAAAAUUGGCACAGCCAUACGGCACUGAACAAGGAAGCCUC
RNAcentral lists this long non-coding RNA (238 nucleotides) under Homo sapiens (human). RNAcentral's name for it is "long non-coding RNA NONHSAT067953.2". Lineage: Eukaryota; Metazoa; Chordata; Mammalia; Primates; Hominidae. The record is from RNAcentral.